RNAcentral lists this transfer RNA (74 nucleotides) under Marinospirillum sp. RNAcentral's name for it is "tRNA-Glu". It matches the Rfam family "tRNA". Rfam says of the family: Transfer RNA (tRNA) molecules are approximately 80 nucleotides in length. Their secondary structure includes four short double-helical elements and three loops (D, anti-codon, and T loops). The record is from RNAcentral. Lineage: Bacteria; Pseudomonadati; Pseudomonadota; Gammaproteobacteria; Oceanospirillales; Oceanospirillaceae.
GGCGGUGUUUCCUACCGGAAAGGUUACGAUCCUUUCGAGUUCGUAUUAUGCAGGUUCGACUCCUGCCGCCGCCC